UACGUAGGGGGCAAGCGUUGUCCGGAAUUAUUGGGCGUAAAGCGCUCGCAGGCGGUCUGUCGCGUCGGAUGUGAAAACUCGGGGCUCAACCCCGAGCCUGCAUUCGAUACGGGCAGACUAGAGUGCUGUAGGGGAGACUGGAAUUCCUGGUGUAGCGGUGAAAUGCGCAGAUAUCAGGAGGAACACCGGUGGCGAAGGCGGGUCUCUGGGCAGUAACUGACGCUGAGGAGCGAAAGCGUGGGGAGCGAACAGG
This 253-nucleotide ribosomal RNA is filed under the name uncultured bacterium. RNAcentral's name for it is "partial 16S ribosomal RNA". It matches the Rfam family "Bacterial small subunit ribosomal RNA", at positions 524 to 776 of the family's 1533-position model. The record is from RNAcentral.